UACGUAGGGGGCAAGCGUUAUCCGGAUUUAUUGGGCGUAAAGAGCGCGUAGGCGGUCUGUUAAGCGAGAUGUGAAAACUGGGGGCUCAACCCGCAGCCUGCAUCUCGAACUGGCAGACUUGAGUCUGGUAGAGGAAAGUGGAAUUCCUGGUGUAGCGGUGAAAUGCGCAGAUAUCAGGAGGAACACCAGUGGCGAAGGCGGCUUUCUGGGCCACGACUGACGCUGAGGCGCGAAAGCUAGGGGAGCGAACAGGAUUAGA
Molecule: ribosomal RNA, 259 nt
Filed under: uncultured prokaryote
Description: partial 16S ribosomal RNA
Rfam family: Bacterial small subunit ribosomal RNA
Source: RNAcentral